GAGUUUGAUCCUGGCUCAGAACGAACGCUGGCGGCGUGCCUAACACAUGCAAGUCGAACGUGAUCCAGAGCUUGCUCUGGUGAAAGUGGCGCACGGGUGAGUAACGCGUGGAUAACCUACCCUGGUAUCCGGGAUAACAUUCCGAAAGGGGUGCUAAUACCGGAUAAGCCCACGGGCUCUUUGGAGCUUGCGGGAAAAGGUGGCCUCUAUUUAUAAGCUACUGUAUCAGGAUGGGUCCGCGUACCAUUAGCUAGUUGGCGGUGUAACGGACCACCAAGGCGACGAUGGUUAGCUGGUCUGAGAGGAUGAUCAGCCACACUGGAACUGAGACACGGUCCAGACUCCUWCGGGAGGCAGCAGUGGGGAAUUUUGCGCAAUGGGGGAAACCCUGACGCAGCAACGCCGCGUGAGUGAUGAAGGCCUUUGGGUCGUAAAGCUCUGUCAGAGGGGAAGAAAUGAUAUAGUGCUAAUACCACUUUAUCUUGACGGUACCCUCAAAGGAAGCACCGGCUAACUCCGUGCCAGCAGCCGCGGUAAUAC
RNAcentral lists this ribosomal RNA (540 nucleotides) under uncultured Geobacteraceae bacterium. RNAcentral describes it as "bacterial SSU rRNA". It matches the Rfam family "Bacterial small subunit ribosomal RNA", at positions 9 to 526 of the family's 1533-position model. Lineage: Bacteria; Pseudomonadati; Thermodesulfobacteriota; Desulfuromonadia; Geobacterales; Geobacteraceae. The record is from RNAcentral.